GUAGGCCUCUUGUGCCAAACCACGUAAAUCUUGGUUCUUUGUCUUUGUUUAUUUAUGCCUGCAAUGUGUUUGGUGAAUUGUCUCAAAGAAAAUAGAUAUUAGAUCAUAAGCCUAAAUCGAUCCUAUCCGGUGCGCGUUGCUUCAACAGAUUUGAUUUGUGUAAAUUUGGAAAAAUAUGAUAUUAAAAUGCAUUAGUAUUUAAGACUCCAUCAAGUAAUAUGACUUGUACCAAGUUUCGAGUAACUUAACGUGCCAACCGAGCC
Molecule: long non-coding RNA, 263 nt
Filed under: Elaeis guineensis (African oil palm)
Lineage: Eukaryota; Viridiplantae; Streptophyta; Magnoliopsida; Arecales; Arecaceae
Description: long non-coding RNA (EGUI_LNC010248)
Source: RNAcentral